Long non-coding RNA from Corvus hawaiiensis (hawaiian crow), 463 nucleotides. RefSeq lists it as uncharacterized. The record is from RefSeq and is a predicted model, not a curated record. The transcript has 4 exons. NCBI's taxonomy places the organism in Eukaryota, Metazoa, Chordata, Aves, Passeriformes, Corvidae.
CCUGACAUCUGCAGAGAGUGAGGAAGGAUCGAAGAACCUGACAUCUGCAGAGAGUGAAGAAGGAUCUACAGAGAAGUGUGUUUCUGUCAGUAAGGAAUUAUUGCAUGACAGCAGACCAUAAACUGCAAGGUCCAGGGAAAGAAUGGGCCCAAACCUAAGAAGGGGAAAUUAUAGGCAGUAGUGCCUGAAGAAUACAUCUCAGAAGCGGGAAGUUCUGACUGUACUUCCUACAGUCCCAUCCUAUCCUGCACAGAUACCUGAACACUCUUCUCUCCAAGGAAGGCUUGGUGACUGCCCAGGGAAGAAGUGCUCCACAGAGGCUUCCACUAUUCUUGCACUUCUUCUAAAAUGGACUUCCACACACACACUGGAAACAAGCCAUACCUACGAGCAGUCACCUUCUGUAAUGGCAGUCAGUAGCUGAAAAUCACCAGCUGGGGCAGGGGAGCGAGGAAGCACCCGG